CACAAUAAACAACUAUCAUUUAUUGUUAACUAUAUUACUGAUAUCUAUAUUCAAAUAUAUUUUGAGAGGCAGUGUAACAGAGUAGAAAGACUAUGAGCUUCAGUCAUACAGAUCUGUUUAUCAUUGUAUGAUUUUGCAUAAAUGACUUAACCUCUCUGAGCUUCAUUUUCCCUGUUUAUAAAAUAAGUACUAUAUUAUUAACCCAAUAAGGCUUUUGUGAAGAUUAAAUGAGAUCUUACAUGUAACAAAACUGCUCCAGAGACUGGAUGCUUAGUAGCUACUCGACAGAUGUUACCCUUAUAUCUCCCUAAUUUGUGACCAGCUUUCUUAUGCUCACAUGAAAAUCCUGAGCUUCUAUUUCCUCAAUAAAUGCUAAACAACAUUGGUAAUUAGCAUCUUAGGUCUUCAAUAGUCCUCAUAAAGGCUGUUUAUUUGUUGUGUUCCUGGAACUAAAUUAUAAGGUGAGCAGCCCAAAUUGUAAGAGUUCAGUAUACAUAUCCUUUCAAGUGGUACAAAGUUAUUGCUGAGGCAUCUUUAGGAAUAUUUUGUUACAAAAUAGGAUGCGAAAACUUGUGAUGAAUAUUAAAAGAGAUCAGGGACACUGGAAUACUGGAAAGACUACUGUUGAAAAAAUUAUCUUUAGAGUCAGUGGUUUUGUUUUAUUUUUUCUGUUUGGUCCUCACACAAACCCAGAAGCCAAGCAGGCUUUAUUUUCCUGUUUAAAGAUGAAGAAAUCAAGGCACAAGUUAAAAAGCCACUUGCACAAGAUUCACUGGUCAUUGGGUAACAACUAAGAAUAAUCUUGGUCUUUUGACUUCCUGCUCAGUGCUCUAUUUCUUUUUAAUAACAUAAAUUUUGCAGUGUUAGCCUUUAAAAAAAAAAAGAUUUGAUUGAUUGGUUUGAUAGAGAAAGACAGCAUGUGCACAAGCAUGGGGAAUGGCAGACAGAAUGGAAAAGCAGGCUCUCCUCCAAGCAGGGAGCCAGAUACAGGGCUCAAUCCCAGGACUCUGGGAUCAUGACUUAAGCUGAAGUAGAUGCAUAACCGACUGAGCCACCCAGGUGCCUCAAUGUUAACCAUUUUUAAGUGUACAGUUAAGUACGUUCACAUUGUUGUACAACCAGUCUCCAGAACUCUUUUCCUCUUGCAAAACUGAAACUCUACUCCCAUUAAACAACUCCCUAUCCUUCUUCCCCCAGCCCCAGGCAACCAUCAUUCUACUUUCUGUUUCUAUGAGAGUGACUAUUCUAGGUACUCAUAUAAAUGGAAGCAUAUAGUAUGUCUUUUUGUGACUGGCUUAUUUAGCAUAAUGCCCUCAAGGUUCAUCCAUGUUGCAAUAUGUGUCAGAACUGCCUUCCUUUUUAAAACACAUUUUGUUUUUCCAUCCAUCUACCAACAGACUCUCGGGGUUGCUUCCACUCUUGACUAUUGUGAAUAAUGCUGUUAUAAACAUGGAUGUUUAAAAUCUCUUUGAAAUUCUCCUUUCAACUCUUUCGGGUAUGCACCCAGAAGUGGAACUGUUAGAUUAUAUGAUGAUAUGGUCAUUUUAAUUUUUUGAGGGACAUCAUACUGUUUUGAAGAACAGCUAUGUAUAGCAGCUGCACCAUUUUACAUUAUUGCACAAAGGUUCCAAUUUCUCUACAUCCUAACACUUGUCCUUUUCUGUUUUUUGUUUUGCUUUGUUUUUAUAAUAGCUAUCCUAAUGGGUGUGAGAUGGUCUCACUCUGUAAUUAUCUGCAGAGUUUUGUAGUCUUCUGAGAUGACAAGACACUAGUGACACUGGAUAACAUCACCAACAACUUACAGCAUUAAAAUCCUACCAGAUUUAAGACACUACUAUAGGAUGCAACAGUACACAAAGUCCCUGCUCUCAAGGAUUUUACAAUCUAGCUGGAAAGAAAGGAUAUAUGCACUUAAAAAUAAAUAAAAAUGCAAGAUAGAAUAGUCUAAAUAAUAUAGACUCAGUUGAAAGAGCAUGCAACUCUUGAUCUCAAGAUAGUGAGUUUGAGACCCACACUCGGUUAGAAAUUGCUUAAAAAAAUAAAAUUAGGGGAUCCCUGGGUGGCGCAGCGGUUUGGCGCCUGCCUUUGGCCCAGGGCGCAAUCCUGGAGACCCGGGAUCGAAUCCCACGUCGGGCUCCCGGUGCAUGGAGC
Molecule: long non-coding RNA, 2151 nt
Filed under: Canis lupus familiaris (dog)
Lineage: Eukaryota; Metazoa; Chordata; Mammalia; Carnivora; Canidae
Description: lncRNA (ENSCAFG00000058773.1, ENSCAFG00845025972.1)
Source: RNAcentral